UUGAUAGUCUGUGAGACCAGUGUCCUCUCUUUAGUCAUGGAACAAGUACAGCAUAGACAGAAGCAGUGAAAGCUUCUCCAGGCUGGCCUGCCAAUGUGCCACAGUCUUGCCGUGAAGUAAGAGCUUCUAAGAGUAGCAAGGUGGUUGCUAUUUGCCUCAGUCUUUGACCUCU
This 172-nucleotide small RNA is filed under the name Gopherus agassizii (Agassiz's desert tortoise). RNAcentral's name for it is "TUC338 (ENSGAGG00000024334.1)". The record is from RNAcentral. Lineage: Eukaryota; Metazoa; Chordata; Testudines; Testudinidae.